This 508-nucleotide ribosomal RNA is filed under the name uncultured bacterium. RNAcentral describes it as "bacterial SSU rRNA". It matches the Rfam family "Bacterial small subunit ribosomal RNA", at positions 33 to 507 of the family's 1533-position model. The record is from RNAcentral.
GACACGCUGGCGACGUGCUUAACACAUGCAAGUCGAACGGAGAUUAUUAAUGAAGCUUGCGAUUUAUAAUCUUAGUGGCGACGGGGUGAGUAACGCGUGGGCAACCUACCCAUAAGCGGGGGAUAACAGUUGGAAACGACUGCUAAUACCGCAUAAGCUAUAGAGGUCGCAUGACCUAAAUAGUAAAGGUGGCAUUUAAAGAUGCUAUCACUUAUGGAUGGGCCCGCGUCUGAUUAGCUAGUUGGUGGGGUAGUGGCCUACCAAGGCAACGAUCAGUAGCCGGCCUGAGAGGGUGGACGGCCACACUGGGACUGAGACACGGCCCAGACUCCUACGGGAGGCAGCAGUGGGGAAUAUUGCGCAAUGGGGGAAACCCUGACGCAGCGACGCCGCGUGAGCGAAGAAGGCCUUAGGGUCGUAAAGCUCUGUUGUAAGGGACGAAUGUUUAUCUGACGAACAGUCAGAUAAAGUGACGGUACCUUACCAGCAAGCCCCGGCUAACUACGUG